CUAGAGUGUGAAGAAGAAGAAGAAGAAGAAGAAGAAGAUGAUGAUGAUGGAGGAUCUUCAUGAACUUUCUAGGGAGUUGGUGAGAGACGUUUUAGAUUUAGCAGAGGAUGUGGAAGCAGGACCUGCUGACCCAGAGCAUGUAGCGAGUAAAGCAGAGGAAUUUAUUGAAGUUCUUGGAGUUAUUUCCGCACUUUCUGACCAAGAUAUUGAUUAUAGAGUGACUGCAAAUUUAGAAGAAGUAGUCCACCGCUUCUCUGGUACCAGGGAGCAUCAGGCCCAACACACACAGGGACCGGGGCGUUUGGCGUUUGACAUACCGAGUGCAGUUCUGGAGCAUCAAGUUCUUAGUGGCUUACCCGCGGGUCAAAUUGCAGCGAUGUUCGGAGUGUCAAAGAGGACCAUCAGGAGGCGCAUGAAACAAAACGGUUUAAGAAAGACAGACCUCUAUUCAGCUGUGAGUGAUGAGGAGUUAGACCGUAUUGUAAGUGAAAUUCACAGAAGACAUCCAAACACCGGCUACAAGCUAAUGCGCGGUCAUCUGAAUGCAAGAGGUGUGCGUGUUCCAAUCUCAAGACUGCAAGAGUCUUUACGCAGAGUCGAUACG
Long non-coding RNA from Gadus morhua (Atlantic cod), 604 nucleotides. RefSeq lists it as uncharacterized. The record is from RefSeq and is a predicted model, not a curated record. Lineage: Eukaryota; Metazoa; Chordata; Actinopteri; Gadiformes; Gadidae. The transcript has 3 exons.